Molecule: ribosomal RNA, 161 nt
Filed under: Otaria flavescens (South American sea lion)
Lineage: Eukaryota; Metazoa; Chordata; Mammalia; Carnivora; Otariidae
Description: Otaria byronia (South American sea lion) partial small subunit ribosomal RNA
Source: RNAcentral
GUCAUACGAUUAACCCAAACUAACGGACCCACGGCGUAAAGCGUGUAAAAGAUUUAUCAACACUAAAGUUAAAACUUAACCAAGCCGUAAAAAGCUACCGUUAAUACAAAAUACACUACGAAAGUGACUUUAAUAAUCCUGAUUACACGAUAGCUAAGACC